GAGAACCUGCGGGAGAGCGCCCGGGCUUGCUGCUUCCCGGACCCGCGCGUCUCUCGAGCACCCUCGUCCCACCACCUUGUGAGGCCGUAGUGUUAUUUUUAUUUUUUAGAUCAGCAGACUGAGACUCGAGGUGACGUCACUCCGCAGAGAGGUUAGCUGACUUGAAGAAAACGGGUAUCUCCUCUUUCCAUUUCGCCCGUGUAAACAGCCGAACUGCCUAUUAUAAAAGCAUGGACUGCCAGCAUUGGAGUGGUCCUUAGAGGCCUAUUAUGAAAUCAUAGAAUGUCUGCAUUGGAAUCGCCUCACCUCCUUUUACCGCUGGAGAAGCCGACGGACAGACGGGCAGCGACCCCCGCCGUCGCACAACCCGUCUAGGCAGAGAGCGCAGGAGACGGGAGGGCGGCAGGGACACAUCUCCCAGCCAAGGACCUCCUGGGCCCGCAGAGGCCGCGACAGGUUCCCCCCACAGAGGGAACCAACUCUGCCGCAGGUUAGAGCACAGCAGACUGAGCCACCCAGAACUGGCCCCUCCGGUGGACCAGCCCCUGCGGAUUCACAGACCACUGGUCCUGGAAGGGACCUUGUCAAGCAGGCCCAUAAGGUAAUCCCUCCCCGGAAAGAGAAGAUCACAGAUUUUGUCAUAUUAAAUACAUUGUAGAAAUUCAUGGUAGCAGGGGCAAGAUCAUUUAAACAAAACAGAAAGUUUCAGAGAGAGAAAAAGCCAAGGACAAAGAUUAAUCAUUUUUCUGCUUAAAAAAAAUGGCUUUGAUUUGCAACCAUGGAAUGCUCCACUGUUUCUCUUCUCUUCAAAGACAUCUACUGAAAGGAUUCCUUAACCUUACCAAGUGGCCAAAAUACUUUUCUGAGAAGAGUCACAGAGCAUAGGCCCCCCUAGGGUACACAGAGAUUUCAUUAGUCCCUAGAUGUUUCCUGAUCCUUUUAAAAACUGGUUAAAUUCAGAGACUCUAGGCAAUUACUUCUUUCAGAACCUGUGAGGCAAAAACGAAAGAAGAAGGCAGGACACGCAGUGUAACAAACCUUGGAAUGGUAAGUAGGAAAUAUGAGUUAGUUUUUUGGCUAAGCUAUGAAUUUACCUUGUGCCUGCCAGAAAUCACUCAGUCUUUUGUGACUGUAAAUUUUCUGUAAGUGUUAAUUGGUUUGGUUUAUUAUUGCAAGAAGCAAGGGAGCAAUGUUGUGUAUUAUAAUUUCAUUGUGUCAAUUUUGCCAAAUUAUCUUGCAUUUUGUUAUUCUAUGAACUCAUAAUGGGAUAAGGAGUAUAGGCUUUGAUUCAGAACAUAUGUGAUGUUGCUAUAAAUGCUUCAUGGAAAACCCUAAAUAUAUUUUGAAGCCUACAUAGUCAAAAGUCACCAUUGGAAGACUUUUUUACUUUACUAUUGUAUUUAUGCUCGUUAGCACUCAUUCUUGUUUGAAACGUCUCAAAUGCGUAAUUUUAUUAUUUUAUUUGUUGUCUCCAGAUUGGUCUGAGGACUCCGCUUUCUUCACUGCCCAUUCAUCUUCAUACUGUUCUCAUAUUUUUUUUUAAAUUGGGAUAUGCAAUGAUCCUUAGUUUAUAAAUUCAACUCCACUUUGCCACACACAGUGUUACGCUUGGGGAAACAAUUAGAACUUGCCCUUCUUGGCCAGGCGCGGUGGCUCCCGCCUGUGAUCCCAGCACUUUGGGAGGCCAAGGUGGGCAGAUCACGAGGUCAAGAGAUGGAGACCAUCCUGGCCAACAUGGUGAAACCCCGUCUCUACUAAAAAUACAAAAAUUAGCUGGGCAUGGUGGCGCGCGCCUGUAGUCCCAGCUAUUUGGGAGGCUGAGGCAGGAGAAUCGCUUGAACCCGGGAGGCAGUGGUUGCAGUGAGAUUGCGCCGCUGCACUCCAGCCUGGUGACAGAGCAAGACUCCAUCUCAAAAAAAAAAAAAAAAAAAAAGAACUUGCCCCUCUUUUUUUUUUUUUGCUCAAGGAACUCAGUCUGCCGUGGUUGCUCAUUGUCUAGGAUGAAGUCCAAAUCCCUUGGGCCUUCACAAUCCAGCCCUGUCUGUUCUUCUAGUCUCCUUCUCUUUUUACAUCCACUUGCUUUCUGCUAUGUUCUUCACACUAGUCACACUGCCCUUCUCAGGGUGUCAGAGCAACCUAUAUUCUGUCCCUUUUUCAUGCCUUUACUAAUCUAUGUGAAAUACCAUCCCCUAUUCUUGCUUUUAAAUUACCCCAGUUCAAAGGUCAUCUCCUUCUCCGACUCCACGCAGGCCGAGUUAGUGUUCACCUUCACUGAGAUCCUAAGGAGCUGUUUGCAUUCCUCUAUCUCAUUGUAUCAUCAUUGUCUAAGUGUCCGUCCCUCUGCUGUGGCCUCUUUGGGAGCAGGUGCAUGUCUUCCUCCUCUUUCUCCCCUGACAGCAUAACUUAAUGAAUACAGUGUCUGCCGUAAGAGGCCCUCGAUACAUGUUGGUUAUGUAAAUCAAAGAAAAUGACCAAGGCGAGUCUCGAUGAUUUGGGUUUAUUUGCCAAGGUUAAGGAUGCACUCAGGAAAGAACACAGAUCCACAGGAAGAACUGUGCUCCAUGCUUUUUCCAAAGAGGGUCUGGGGACCUCAAUAUUUAAAGGGAAAAGAAUGAAUAUUGGAGAAAGAGAAAGAAAGUUUUUUUUUACAAAGGGUGUGGGUGGAUAAGAGGCAAGCAGUUGCAUUCUUUUGAGUCUUUGAUCAGCCAUUUACAUGUGAGAGGGUGGUAGAGGUACAGUCACUUACACAUUCAAUGAAUCUGCAUUUUUUACAUAACAUAAACAUAGGGCAGAGGAAGCAAUCAGAUAUGCCUUUGUCUCAGGUAAGCAGAGGGAUGUCUUUGAUUUCUGUCCUUUGCCCCAUACCUGCAAAGAUAAGCUAUCAGUAUACAUUGCCAGGGUGAGAUUCAACAGAACUGUUUUAGAGUAAAGAUCUGGGAGCCCACAGGAAUUACCCUGUGGGCAAAUUGUGAGGGAGGUCUGUAGCUUUAUUAUCUUGUAGCUAUCUAUUUAGGAACAAAAUGGGAGGCAGGUUUGCAAGACCCAGUUCCCAGCUGGACUUUUCCCCUUUGGCUUAGUGAGUUUAGGGUCCCAAGAUUUAUUUUCCUUUCACAGUUGAAUCAGGGAAUAAAUGAGUUAACUGUUCCUAAAUUCGACCUCCCCAAUAAUGGUGUCCAUAACAACAUCAAUUUCUUGGAAAGCAAUCUGACUAUAUAUCUUGUUCUGCAUGGCUAAGGAAGGCAUUAGCAGCUAUAAUGCUGGAAAGGAAAUAAUAGAAAUAAGAAAGACUGCUGAGUCAAUAGAGAAUGCAUUACAAAGAGGAAAUUGUCCUGUCACCAGUCAGAAAUCUUAAUUGAGGUCUGUUAUGUGCCAGGUCCUUUUCUAGGUAUUGUCUAUUGCUUAGUUUAUUGCAGAAAUAAACUACAGCAGGUACUGUAUUUCCUCUUUUCAUUUUAAUUUAAUUUAAUUUAAUUUUUUUUUGAGGUGGAGUCUCGCUCUGUCACCCAGGCUGGAGUACAGUGACGUGAUCUCGGCUCACCACAAACUCUGCCUUCUGGGUUCAAGAGAUUCUCUUGCCUCAGCCUCCCAAAUAGCUGGGAUUAUAGGUACAUGCCACCAUGCCCAGCUAUUUUUUGUAUUUUUAGUAGAGAUGGAGUUUCACCAUGUUGGCCAGGCUGGUCUCGAACUCCUCACCUCAGGUGAUCCACCCGCCUCGGCUUCCCAAAGUGCUGGGAUUACAGGUGUGAGCCACCACGCCUGGCCUCCUCUUUUCAUUUUAGGUUCAGAACCCU
RNAcentral lists this long non-coding RNA (3791 nucleotides) under Homo sapiens (human). Its description in RNAcentral is "HSALNT0317444". The record is from RNAcentral. Lineage: Eukaryota; Metazoa; Chordata; Mammalia; Primates; Hominidae.